UACGUAGGGUGCGAGCGUUGUCCGGAAUUAUUGGGCGUAAAGAGCUCGUAGGCGGUCUGUCGCGUCGGUCGUGAAAACUUGGGGCUUAACCCUGAGCUUGCGGUCGAUACGGGCAUGACUGGAGUUCGGUAGGGGAGACUGGAAUUCCUGGUGUAGCGGUGAAAUGCGCAGAUAUCAGGAGGAACACCUAUUGCGAAGGCAGCUCGCUGGGACGUAACUGACGCUGAGACGCGAAAGCGUGGGGAGCAAACAGG
Molecule: ribosomal RNA, 254 nt
Filed under: uncultured bacterium
Lineage: Bacteria
Description: partial 16S ribosomal RNA
Rfam family: Bacterial small subunit ribosomal RNA
Source: RNAcentral